CAAAAUGUAGUUUAACUAAAACAUUUCGUUUACACCGAAAAUAUAUUUGUGAAACCCAAACCACUUUGA
Molecule: transfer RNA, 69 nt
Filed under: Microcaecilia sp. PZ-2009
Lineage: Eukaryota; Metazoa; Chordata; Amphibia; Gymnophiona; Siphonopidae
Description: tRNA-Val
Rfam family: tRNA
About the family: Transfer RNA (tRNA) molecules are approximately 80 nucleotides in length.
Source: RNAcentral